GUCCACGCCGUAAACGAUGGGCACUAGGCGUCGGGGGAGCGACCCUCCCGGUGCCGUCGCUAACGCAGUAAGUGCCCCGCCUGGGGAGUACGGCCGCAAGGCUGAAACUCAAAGGAAUUGACGGGGCCCGCACAAGCGGUGGAGCAUGUGGUUUAAUUCGAAGCAACGCGAAGAACCUUACCUGGGCUAUAAUGCGAGUGACGGAUCGGGAAACCGGUCUUUUCUCGGAACACAAAGCAAGGUGCUGCAUGGCUGUCGU
This 259-nucleotide ribosomal RNA is filed under the name uncultured bacterium. RNAcentral describes it as "partial 16S ribosomal RNA". It matches the Rfam family "Bacterial small subunit ribosomal RNA", at positions 793 to 1055 of the family's 1533-position model. The record is from RNAcentral.